GGGUUGUGAGGUUAAGCGACUAAGCGUACACGGUGGAUGCCCUGGCAGUCAGAGGCGAUGAAGGACGUGCUAAUCUGCGAAAAGCGUCGGUAAGGUGAUAUGAACCGUUAUAGCCGGCGAUGUCCGAAUGGGGAAACCCAGUGCAAUUCGUUGCACUAUCGUUUGAUGAAUACAUAGUCAAACGAGGCGAACCGGGGGAACUGAAACAUCUAAGUACCCCGAGGAAAAGAAAUCAACCGAGAUUCCCCCAGUAGCGGCGAGCGAACGGGGAGCAGCCCGGAGUCUGAAUCAGCUUGUGUGUUAGUGGAAGCGUCUGGAAAGUCGCAGGGUACAGGGUGAUACUCCCGUACACUAAAACACACAGGCUGUGAACUCGAAGAGUAGGGCGGGACACGUGGUAUCCUGUCUGAAUAUGGGGGGACCAUCCUCCAAGGCUAAAUACUCCUGACUGACCGAUAGUGAACCAGUACCGUGAGGGAAAGGCGAAAAGAACCCCGGCGAGGGGAGUGAAAAAGAACCUGAAACCGUGUACGUACAAGCAGUAGGAGCCCCACCACCAAAGCGUUUCGCUUUGCGUGGUGCGCAAAAUGCGUAACGACAGCAUGAUGGACGGUUAACGGAGCGUCAGCGACGUUCAACCUCAAAAAUCAGGCAGUGGAGCGUUUUGGGGUGGGGUGACUGCGUACCUUUUGUAUAAUGGGUCAGCGACUUAUAUUCUGUAGCAAGGUUAACCGUAUAGGGGAGCCGCAGGGAAACCGAGUCUUAACUGGGCGUUAAGUUGCAGGGUAUAGACCCGAAACCCGGUGAUCUAGCCAUGGGCAGGUUGAAGGUUGGGUAACACUAACUGGAGGACCGAACCGACUAAUGUUGAAAAAUUAGCGGAUGACUUGUGGCUGGGGGUGAAAGGCCAAUCAAACCGGGAGAUAGCUGGUUCUCCCCGAAAGCUAUUUAGGUAGCGCCUCGUGAACUCAUCUUCGGGGGUAGAGCACUGUUUCGGCUAGGGGGUCAUCCCGACUUACCAACCCGAUGCAAACUACGAAUACCGAAGAAUGUUAUCACGGGAGACACACGGCGGGUGCUAACGUCCGUCGUGAAGAGGGAAACAACCCAGACCGCCAGCUAAGGUCCCAAAGUCAUGGUUAAGUGGGAAACGAUGUGGGAAGGCCCAGACAGCCAGGAUGUUGGCUUAGAAGCAGCCAUCAUUUAAAGAAAGCGUAAUAGCUCACUGGUCGAGUCGGCCUGCGCGGAAGAUGUAACGGGGCUAAACCAUGCACCGAAGCUGCGGCAGCGACACUAUGUGUUGUUGGGUAGGGGAGCGUUCUGUAAGCCGUUGAAGGUGGCCUGUGAGGGUUGCUGGAGGUAUCAGAAGUGCGAAUGCUGACAUAAGUAACGAUAAUGCGGGUGAAAAACCCGCACGCCGGAAGACCAAGGGUUCCUGUCCAACGUUAAUCGGGGCAGGGUGAGUCGACCCCUAAGGCGAGGCCGAAAGGCGUAGUCGAUGGGAAACAGGUUAAUAUUCCUGUACUUGGUGUUACUGCGAAGGGGGGACGGAGAAGGCUAUGUUGGCCGGGCGACGGUUGUCCCGGUUUAAGCAUGUAGGCGGAUGUUCCAGGUAAAUCCGGAACGUUAUUAACGCUGAGGUGUGAUGACGAGGCACUACGGUGCUGAAGUGACAAAUGCCCUGCUUCCAGGAAAAGCCUCUAAGCAUCAGGUAACAUCAAAUCGUACCCCAAACCGACACAGGUGGUCAGGUAGAGAAUACCAAGGCGCUUGAGAGAACUCGGGUGAAGGAACUAGGCAAAAUGGUGCCGUAACUUCGGGAGAAGGCACGCUGAUGGUAGGUGAAGUGACUUGCUCACGGAGCUGAAAUCAGUCGAAGAUACCAGCUGGCUGCAACUGUUUAUUAAAAACACAGCACUGUGCAAACACGAAAGUGGACGUAUACGGUGUGACGCCUGCCCGGUGCCGGAAGGUUAAUUGAUGGGGUUAUCCUCACGGAGAAGCUCUUGAUCGAAGCCCCGGUAAACGGCGGCCGUAACUAUAACGGUCCUAAGGUAGCGAAAUUCCUUGUCGGGUAAGUUCCGACCUGCACGAAUGGCGUAAUGAUGGCCAGGCUGUCUCCACCCGAGACUCAGUGAAAUUGAACUCGCUGUGAAGAUGCAGUGUACCCGC
Molecule: ribosomal RNA, 2172 nt
Filed under: Klebsiella oxytoca
Lineage: Bacteria; Pseudomonadati; Pseudomonadota; Gammaproteobacteria; Enterobacterales; Enterobacteriaceae
Description: partial 23S ribosomal RNA
Rfam family: Bacterial large subunit ribosomal RNA
Source: RNAcentral